Molecule: ribosomal RNA, 468 nt
Filed under: uncultured bacterium
Lineage: Bacteria
Description: partial 16S ribosomal RNA
Rfam family: Bacterial small subunit ribosomal RNA
Source: RNAcentral
GACGAACGCUGGCGGCGUGCUUAACACAUGCCAGUCGAACGGAAAGGCCCUGCUUUUGUGGUGUGCUCGAGUGGCGAACGGGUGAGUAACACGUGAGUAACCUGCCCUUGACUUUGGGAUAACUUCAGGAAACUGGGGCUACUACCGGAUAGGAGCUCCUGCUGCAUGGUGGGGGUUGGAAAGUUUCGGCGGUUGGGGAUGGACUCGCGGCUUAUCAGCUUGUUGGUGGGGUAGUGGCUUACCCAGGCUUUGACGGGUAGCCGGCCUGAGAGGGUGACCGGCCACAUUGGGACUGAGAUACGGCCCAGACUCCUACGGGAGGCAGCAGUGGGGAAUAUUGCACAAUGGGCGGAAGCCUGAGGCAGCAACGCCGCGUGCGGGAUGACGGCCUGCGAGUGGUAAACCGCUUGCGCCUGUGACGAAGCGUGAGUGACGGUAAUGGGUAAAGAAGCACCGGCUAACUACGUG